GUUUUUCAGGAAUAAAAUAAAAAUCCAGGUUAACGAAAAUUUCUUAGCAAUUUUCCCAACAGCCUGUUUAGAAACAUGAAGAUAGUUUUCCACAAUUCAUAUCUGGAUCAAUAGAAGUUCUAUUUUCGAUAGUUUUGAAAUAAACAGAAGUGCAAUUGUACCCAAACCAAAACAGCGUGUUAAAUUUUAACCCUGGGUUAGCGCUAAUCCACCUUUAAACAUGCAAGCGGUCCCAGGGGGGACUCAUUUUGGGCAGAUAAUAGAUAACUUAAGAUCUACGACGUCGACGUUAGCUAGGACGUCAGGGCUAAGCAGAGGACUGGGAUUACAUUAGGACAUCCUAGUCCCAGUCCUCUGCAUAGCCCUGACGUCCUAGCUAACGUCGACGUCGUAGAUCUUAAGCUAUCUAUUAACAGACUUGAGAGUAAAUUAAAAUAACUUGCCAAAAAAUGGACAGCCCGUAUCCAGCGAUAGGUCCGUGAGUCAACUUUCGGCUUCGGUGGUUAACACCAACUUCGGCCUUAAUAAUUUCUCAUAUCCUACUCGACUUCAUUCAAUAAUUGUUUAAUGUUCGCAGGUGCAGUCCGGGAAUAAACUUAUGUGGAAGUUAUUCCGCCGUUUACUCCCGGUGUGGAGGUAUUACCCCCUUUUACUCUCCCUUCCUUUCCUUUUUUGCUGGGGGAAAACUAACCCUCCUCUUUAUGAAGAGAGGUGCAUCACCUCGGUCUUCCCACGAUUCACUGACUAAACCCUACACUAUUUUUAACCAGAUGUAUGUGAACGAUUAAAGACACAUAAUAGUUUAAUAUGCAUACUGCAUUUUAAAUUUCGUUAUUAACUGAUGAGUGGCUAUAUAAGUAUAAUUUUAGUGUUAAUUUUGCAAAGAAAUGCGGACUAAAAUGGUUUGUAAGCACAGCACGCAACAACCUAUCCACACGCUGUAACCCAUGCAGUUAAAUCUUUGUAUCCAGUAACUUAUUGGGAUUGUAUAUAGGGUCAAUUGUUAGCCGUUGUAAUCGAUAAUCUCAUUGGCUUACAAGUAUACGUAUAUGCUUACAAUUACAGCGUGCGGAUUGGCUGAUUAGCUGCAAGAAGCUUUAAUCCAUUAUAGAGAUAUAUUAUAGCCACCUACAUGGCAAAAAACGCCGAGCCCGCUGCUUAACAGGAUUGAACGUUUUGCUGCCCACAUUGUUCACACUUGUCAACAAUAUUGAAAAAUAUUGUUGAGCCUGAAUCGGGUGUAACAACAUUGUUCAGUAUUGUUGACAACUGUGAACAAUGUGGGCAGCAAAGCAUUGUUCAAUCCUGUUUUCAUCAGUAUUGCAUCAAUCUGAGCGUUUUUACGCGUGUACGUGAGUUAUAGUUUUUAUUACACAUCGUUCAGCGGAGUACAGGAAAAAUUAAACUUAUUCUUCGUCUUCAACCAUGUAGGAAGGGUAGCUCAUGGUGUAUAAGUGGCAAAAAUUUGGAAACCUUUAAAACAGCUACCAAUCCUGAAUGGUCAAGCUAAGACUAAAGACUAAGACGAGGUCAAGCUAAGACUAAAGAAUAGUCAAGCUAAGACUAAAGACUAAGACGAGGUCAAGCUAAGACUAAAGAAUGGUCAAGCUACGACUUAAGACUAAGACAAGGUUGGUGUUAUCCACCAAGCUCAGACUAAAGCGAUAUUUCAUCAGUUUACACUACUUGUAUAAUAUAACACUAAAAUUAUGAACCAUGUUUCUAUUUUUGUUCUUAAGGACAGAGCUUAUUUAGAAAAUUAACUUCAAAUGGGAUAACCCGGAAAAUAAGCAUUUCCCAGGGAGGUGUAUUCGCGACGAUGUUGGCCAAGGAAUCUUUCAUUCCAGAUCAGGCAUACCUGAAAUUGAA
This is a non-coding RNA of Paramuricea clavata, 1869 nucleotides long. NCBI's taxonomy places the organism in Eukaryota, Metazoa, Cnidaria, Anthozoa, Malacalcyonacea, Plexauridae. The record is from the annotation of a GenBank genome assembly.